UACGAGAGGCAGCAGUGGGGAAUAUUGCACAAUGGGCGAAAGCCUGAUGCAGCUAUGCCGCGUGUAUGAAGAAGGCCUUAGGGUUGUAAAGUACUUUCAGCAGGGAGGAAAGAAAUAAAACUAAUAAUUUUAUUUUGUGACGUUACCUGAAGAAGAAGCACCGGCUAACUCCGUGCCAGCAGCCGCGGUAAUACGGAGGGUGCAAGCGUUAAUCAGAAUUACUGGGCGUAAAGAGCGCGUAGGUGGUUUUUUUAAGUCAGAUGUGAAAUCCCUAGGCUUAACCUAGGAACUGCAUUUUGAAACUGAAAAACUAGAGUAUCGUAGAGGGAGGUAGAAUUCUAGGUGUAGCGGUGAAAUGCGUAGAUAUCUGGAGGAAUACCUGUGGCGAAAGCGGCCUCCUAAACGAAUACUGACACUGAGGUGCGAAAGCGUGGGGAGCAAACAGGGAUUAGAUACC
Molecule: ribosomal RNA, 457 nt
Filed under: uncultured bacterium
Lineage: Bacteria
Description: bacterial SSU rRNA
Rfam family: Bacterial small subunit ribosomal RNA
Source: RNAcentral